This is a long non-coding RNA of Oncorhynchus masou masou (cherry salmon), 293 nucleotides long. RefSeq lists it as uncharacterized. The transcript is spliced from 3 exons. NCBI's taxonomy places the organism in Eukaryota, Metazoa, Chordata, Actinopteri, Salmoniformes, Salmonidae. The record is from RefSeq and is a predicted model, not a curated record.
GCUAUCCUGGUGUCUCCUCCUAAGACGGAGGCGAACGGCUGGGCGAAGAGAAGUGAACCUCCGUUGGGUAAAACCCGUUCCCCAUUUAAACACCUCUCCAGACAGGUAAUUUAGGCCUGAGGACGUCUGAGCUGCUGCUGUGUCCUGGUGGUGGCUGUGGAACUGAUGAUGAAGAUGACAGGAUGUCCCAGAUCUCAUCCAGGUCAGCAGCGUCCUGCUCUAUGGCCUCCCAGGUCCUGGACCGAGCCCAGAGGAGGAAGGACCACUUUUGGGGGAAGAGAUAACAGGAAACA